RNAcentral lists this transfer RNA (90 nucleotides) under Pirellulimonas nuda. Its description in RNAcentral is "Planctomycetes bacterium Pla175 tRNA-Asp". The record is from RNAcentral. Lineage: Bacteria; Pseudomonadati; Planctomycetota; Planctomycetia; Pirellulales; Lacipirellulaceae.
GUGCUGGUGAUCGGGGCCGACACGAACAGCCGGGUCGUCGACCCGGCCGACAAGAAAACCUACCCGCUGUUCGGCGACGGCGCGGGCGCC